Molecule: ribosomal RNA, 450 nt
Filed under: uncultured bacterium
Lineage: Bacteria
Description: bacterial SSU rRNA
Rfam family: Bacterial small subunit ribosomal RNA
Source: RNAcentral
GUGGGGAAUAUUGGACAAUGGGCGAAAGCCUGAUCCAGCCAUGCCGCGUGUGUGAAGAAGGUCUUCGGAUUGUAAAGCACUUUAAGUUGGGAGGAAGGGCAGUAAGUUAAUACCUUGCUGUUUUGACGUUACCGACAGAAUAAGCACCGGCUAACUUCGUGCCAGCAGCCGCGGUAAUACGAAGGGUGCAAGCGUUAAUCGGAUUUACUGGGCGUAAAGCGCGCGUAGGUGGUUUUGUAAGUUGGAGGUGAAAUCCCCGGGCUCAACCUGGGAACUGCCUCCAAAACUGCAUGACUAGAGUACGGUAGAGGGUAGUGGAAUUUCCUGUGUAGCGGUGAAAUGCGUAGAUAUAGGAAGGAACACCAGUGGCGAAGGCGACUACCUGGACUGAUACUGACACUGAGGUGCGAAAGCGUGGGGAGCAAACAGGAUUAGAUACCCGAGUAGUCC